GACGAACGCUGGCGGCAUGCCUAAUACAUGCAAGUCGAGCGAACAGAUGAAGUGCUUGCACUUCUGACGUUAGCGGCGAACGGGUGAGUAACACGUAAGGAAUCUACCUAUAAGCGGGGGAUAACAUUCGGAAACGGGUGCUAAUACCGCAUAAUAUCUUCUUCCGCAUGGAAGAGGAUUGAAAGACGGCUCUGCUGUCACUUAUAGAUGACCUUGCGGUGCAUUAGUUAGUUGGUGGGGUAAUGGCCUACCAAGACGAUGAUGCAUAGCCGACCUGAGAGGGUGUUCGGCCACAUUGGGACUGAGACACGGCCCAAACUCCUACGGGAGGCAGCAGUAGGGAAUCUUCCGCAAUGGGCGAAAGCCUGACGGAGCAAUGCCGCGUGAGUGAAGAAGGCCUUCGGGUCGUAAAACUCUGUUAUAAGAGAAGAACAAAUUGUAGAGUAACUGCUACAGUCUUGACGGUAUCUAAUCGGAAAGCCACGGCUAACUACGUGCCAGCCGCCGCCGUAA
RNAcentral lists this ribosomal RNA (513 nucleotides) under uncultured bacterium. Its description in RNAcentral is "partial 16S ribosomal RNA". It matches the Rfam family "Bacterial small subunit ribosomal RNA", at positions 28 to 523 of the family's 1533-position model. The record is from RNAcentral.